UACGGAGGGUGCUAGCGUUGUUCGGAAUUACUGGGCGUAAAGGGCGCGUAGGCGGCCGUUUGCGUCGGAUGUGAAAGCCCGGGGCUCAACCUCGGAACGGCAUUCGAUACGGGACGGCUGGAGACCGGGAGAGGAGAGUGGAAUAGCCAGUGUAGAGGUGAAAUUCGUAGAUAUUGGCUGGAACACCGGUGGCGAAAGCGGCUCUCUGGCCCGGUUCUGACGCUGAGGCGCGAAAGCGUGGGGAGCGAACAGG
RNAcentral lists this ribosomal RNA (253 nucleotides) under uncultured bacterium. RNAcentral describes it as "partial 16S ribosomal RNA". It matches the Rfam family "Bacterial small subunit ribosomal RNA", at positions 524 to 776 of the family's 1533-position model. The record is from RNAcentral.